RNAcentral lists this long non-coding RNA (1406 nucleotides) under Lathyrus oleraceus (garden pea). Its description in RNAcentral is "Pisum sativum (pea) long non-coding RNA (PSAT_LNC027643)". The record is from RNAcentral. Lineage: Eukaryota; Viridiplantae; Streptophyta; Magnoliopsida; Fabales; Fabaceae.
UAUUUGAUUCAAUUUAUUUUGCUUCAAUCACUAACAAAAUAUAAAAUAAAUAUAGCCUAAAAAUAUUGUUUUUUUUAUAAAUUUGAGAUCAAAUACAACUAAUUUUUUAUAAGUAUUUUGCUUAUAUGUUUUUGGAUUAUUAUGUUAAAGGGACAAAGUUUUCACCCUUGAACAAGGAUGAUUAAUCUUUGUUAAAGAAUUUGUGGGGCAUCCUCCCAACAGAAUUUUUCUAUACACAUAGAGUAAGAAAUUAAAUGAUAAUUUCUUUUAAUUGCUCAAAAUUUGUUACCAAUUGAUUUUUUUACUCUUUUAUUUUAAUAGAAUUUAUUUUAAACCGAUGACUUGAACUAAACCAUUAUAUAAAUAGUCGUAUCUUAAUUAUUAUUUUCGUAUUUAUAAAACUAAUGGUUUAUCGAGCACAUCAUAUAUAUUAAAAAUAAAUAAAAAAUAAAAAUAUUAUUAUAAAUAUAUUUAUUCAGACUAAUAUACUUUUAAAAUCUAAAUUUUAAUUUAGAUAACAUUUGAUGAAAACAUUCAUUGUUAACGUUCUUUCAAUGUGUUUCAAAUCCGUUUUAUUUAUUAUUUACAUGAAAAUCAAAUUUAUGCUAUAUUAUGAGCAAGAUGUUCAAAUCUAAAUCGAUUUAAAUAAAAUUGUAAAUCGAUUCAAAAAAUCAAAACUUUCAAAAAACUAAAUCAUUUUGGAUAUAUUUGAAUUCUCUUUUAUGAAAAUCGUUCAUAUUGAAUUAAAUUUCAAAUUGAUUUUUCAAAAUCAACCCAAACUAAAUUGGACCAGGUUCAUAUAUUUUAAUAUUUUUUUAUUAAUGUGAUAUAUGUUAGAUUAAUUUAUUACUCAUUGUUAUUUAAUUUGUUUAAGUAUUAUUAGUUGAUCUAUUUUAUUUAUUUUUGAACAUAAUUGAUCAUUCUCAUUUGUAAUUUUAACUUUAAAGAUACUAUUAUUAUGUAUAUCAGUUUAAAUCAAUUAUUUUAUAGUAUUCUCAAUAUUAAUAUUAAUAAACAAAUUAUUUGUAAUUUGAAUAUUUAAAAUCCAAUCCACUAUUUACAUGAUGAUGAAGUAAAUUAUUAUGCUAAUCGGGAGAUUUGAGUCUCCAACAUUUAAUUAUGGGUGGCUAUGGAGUCUAGUUUAGAUUCUAGUUGCCUAAGAAGUUUAUUUGUGUGUAGAUUCUGAUUUUUAAAAUUAUCAUUUUGUUUCACUUGAAUGUGCAUGAUCACAAAAUUUUCAAGAGCAUUAGCAUCCUUUUAUCCUUAAAAACUCAGAGGUACAACCUCUUGUUGUGAGGAGAUUUUCUUGUAAGAAAAAUAUGAAUGACCUCUGCGUCGUGGGUUAUACAUAUUAGAAUAUGAAUUCCCUUUCAGUAAAUUAUUAAAGUAAUUUGCGUCCUCUAGAC